GCCAGGCUUGGUGGCACGUGUCUGUAGUCCCAGCUAUUCAGGAGGCUGAGGCAGGAGGAUCUCUUGAGUCCAGCAGUUCUGGGCUGUGUAGUGCGUUAUUCCAAUCGGGUGUCUGCGCUAAGUUCGGCAUCAAUAUGGUGACCUCCUGGGAGCAGGGGACCACCAGGUUGUCUAAGGAGGGGUGAACUGGCCCAGGUUGGAAAGGGAGCAGUUCAAAACUCCCAUGCUGAUCAGUAGUGGGAUCACGCCUGUGAAUGGCCACUGCACUCCAGCCUGGGCAACAUAGCAAGACCCUGUAUCUU
RNAcentral lists this signal recognition particle RNA (302 nucleotides) under Callithrix jacchus (white-tufted-ear marmoset). RNAcentral describes it as "Metazoan signal recognition particle RNA (ENSCJAG00000082206.1)". It matches the Rfam family "Metazoan signal recognition particle RNA". From Rfam's summary of the family: The signal recognition particle (SRP) is a universally conserved ribonucleoprotein. It is involved in the co-translational targeting of proteins to membranes. Lineage: Eukaryota; Metazoa; Chordata; Mammalia; Primates; Cebidae. The record is from Rfam by way of RNAcentral.